GAUGAACGCUGGCGGCGUGCCUAAUACAUGCAAGUCGAGCGAACAGACGAGGAGCUUGCUCCUCUGACGUUAGCGGCGGACGGGUGAGUAACACGUGGAUAACCUACCUAUAAGACUGGGAUAACUUCGGGAAACCGGAGCUAAUACCGGAUAAUAUAUUGAACCGCAUGGUUCAAUAGUGAAAGACGGUUUUGCUGUCACUUAUAGAUGGAUCCGCGCCGCAUUGCUAGUUGGUAAGGUAACGGCUUACCAAGGCAACGAUGCGUAGCCGACCUGAGAGAGUGAUCGGCCACACUGGAACUGAGACACGGUCCAGACUCCUACGGGAGGCAGCAGUAGGGAAUCUUCCGCAAUGGGCGAAAGCCUGACGGAGCAACGCCGCGUGAGUGAUGAAGGUCUUCGGAUCGUAAAACUCUGUUAUUAGGGAAGAACAAAUGUGUAAGUAACUAUGCACGUCUUGACGGUACCUAAUCAGAAAGCCACGGCUAACUACGUG
Molecule: ribosomal RNA, 496 nt
Filed under: uncultured bacterium
Lineage: Bacteria
Description: partial 16S ribosomal RNA
Rfam family: Bacterial small subunit ribosomal RNA
Source: RNAcentral